Acanthosepion pharaonis is the source of this 79-nucleotide non-coding RNA. The record is from the annotation of a GenBank genome assembly. NCBI's taxonomy places the organism in Eukaryota, Metazoa, Mollusca, Cephalopoda, Sepiida, Sepiidae.
UCCCAUACGAUCACCAAAGUUAAGCAAUGUUAAGCCAGAUCAGUACCUACAUGGGUGAUCUCAUGGGAAUACCAGGUAC